RNAcentral lists this small RNA (892 nucleotides) under Didymella sp. 1 NV-2015. RNAcentral describes it as "eukaryotic LSU rRNA". It matches the Rfam family "Eukaryotic large subunit ribosomal RNA", at positions 50 to 960 of the family's 3401-position model. The record is from RNAcentral. Lineage: Eukaryota; Fungi; Ascomycota; Dothideomycetes; Pleosporales; Didymellaceae.
GCGGAGGAAAAGAAACCAACAGGGAUUGCCCUAGUAACGGCGAGUGAAGCGGCAACAGCUCAAAUUUGAAAUCUGGCGUCUUCGGCGUCCGAGUUGUAAUUUGCAGAGGGCGCUUUGGCAUUGGCAGCGGUCCAAGUUCCUUGGAACAGGACGUCACAGAGGGUGAGAAUCCCGUACGUGGUCGCUAGCCUUUACCGUGUAAAGCCCCUUCGACGAGUCGAGUUGUUUGGGAAUGCAGCUCUAAAUGGGAGGUAAAUUUCUUCUAAAGCUAAAUACUGGCCAGAGACCGAUAGCGCACAAGUAGAGUGAUCGAAAGAUGAAAAGCACUUUGGAAAGAGAGUUAAAAAGCACGUGAAAUUGUUGAAAGGGAAGCGCUUGCAGCCAGACUUGCCUGUAGUUGCUCAUCCGGGUUUCUACCCGGUGCACUCUUCUAUAGGCAGGCCAGCAUCAGUUUGGGCGGUUGGAUAAAGGUCUCUGUCAUGUACCUCUCUUCGGGGAGAACUUAUAGGGGAGACGACAUGCAACCAGCCUGGACUGAGGUCCGCGCAUCUGCUAGGAUGCUGGCGUAAUGGCUGUAAGCGGCCCGUCUUGAAACACGGACCAAGGAGUCUAACAUCUAUGCGAGUGUUUGGGUGUCAAGCCCGAGCGCGUAAUGAAAGUGAACGGAGGUGGGAACCCUUCGGGGUGCACCAUCGACCGAUCCUGAUGUCUUCGGAUGGAUUUGAGUAAGAGCAUAGCUGUUGGGACCCGAAAGAUGGUGAACUAUGCUUGAAUAGGGUGAAGCCAGAGGAAACUCUGGUGGAGGCUCGCAGCGGUUCUGACGUGCAAAUCGAUCGUCAAAUUUGGGCAUAGGGGCGAAAGACUAAUCGAACUAUCUAGUAGCUGGUUCCUG